Molecule: ribosomal RNA, 143 nt
Filed under: Rhizanthella gardneri
Lineage: Eukaryota; Viridiplantae; Streptophyta; Magnoliopsida; Asparagales; Orchidaceae
Description: 5.8S ribosomal RNA
Rfam family: 5.8S ribosomal RNA
About the family: 5.8S ribosomal RNA (5.8S rRNA) is a component of the large subunit of the eukaryotic ribosome. It is transcribed by RNA polymerase I as part of the 45S precursor that also contains 18S and 28S rRNA.
Source: RNAcentral
UAUGACCCUCGGCAAUGGAUAUCUUGGCUCUUGCAUCGAUGAAAUGCACAAUGAAAUGUGAUAUGUAGUGUGAAUUGCAGAAUCCCAUGUUGGUACGUCUUCUUGGGCGCCUGGCUAAGGGCACGCCUUCUUGGGCAUCACAG